RNAcentral lists this ribosomal RNA (497 nucleotides) under uncultured bacterium. Its description in RNAcentral is "partial 16S ribosomal RNA". It matches the Rfam family "Bacterial small subunit ribosomal RNA", at positions 28 to 507 of the family's 1533-position model. The record is from RNAcentral.
GAUGAACGCUGGCGGCGUGCCUAAUACAUGCAAGUCGAGCGAACAGACGAGGAGCUUGCUCCUCUGACGUUAGCGGCGGACGGGUGAGUAACACGUGGAUAACCUACCUAUAAGACUGGGAUAACUUCGGGAAACCGGAGCUAAUACCGGAUAAUAUAUUGAACCGCAUGGUUCAAUAGUGAAAGACGGUUUUGCUGUCACUUAUAGAUGGAUCCGCGCCGCAUUAGCUAGUUGGUAAGGUAACGGCUUACCAAGGCGACGAUGCGUAGCCGACCUGAGAGGGUGAUCGGCCACACUGGAGCUGAGACACGGUCCAGACUCCUACGGGAGGCAGCAGUAGGGAAUCUUCCGCAAAGGGCGAAAGCCUGACGGAGCAGCGCCGCGUGAGUGAUGAAGGUCUUCGGAUCGUAAAACUCUGUUAUUAGGGAAGAACAAAUGUGUAAGUAACUAUGCACGUCUUGACGGUACCUAAUCAGAAAGCCACGGCUAACUACGUG